Molecule: ribosomal RNA, 394 nt
Filed under: uncultured bacterium
Lineage: Bacteria
Description: partial 16S ribosomal RNA
Rfam family: Bacterial small subunit ribosomal RNA
Source: RNAcentral
AUACGUAGGGGGCGAGCGUUAUCCGGAAUUAUUGGGCGUAAAGAGUACGUAGGUGGUUUCCUAAGCGAGGGGUUUAAGGCACUGGCUUAACCAAUGUUCGCCCCCCGAACUGGGGAACUUGAGUGCUGGAGAGGAAAGCGGAAUUCCUAGUGUAGCGGUGAAAUGCGUAGAUAUUAGGAGGAACACCAGUGGCGAAGGCGGCUUUCUGGACAGUAACUGACACUGAGGUACGAAAGUGUGGGGAGCAAACAGGAUUAGAUACCCUGGUAGUCCACACCGUAAACGAUGAGCACUAGGUGUCGGGCUCGCAAGAGUUCGGUGCCGCAGUUAACGCAUUAAGUGCUCCGCCUGGGGAGUACGUACGCAAGUAUGAAACUCAAAGGAAUUGGCGGGG